UUGGAAAAAAANNNNUGUAGUAACAAGGUCUCCGUAGGUGAACCUGCGGAGGGAUCAUUAACCGUAACACAGACUCGGCGCGGACUUCGGUCCCCGAGGAAAUGUCACACCCUUUGUUGUCCGACCACGUUGCCUCGGGGGUGACCCUGCCUUCGGGCUAGUCCCCCCGGUGGACCAAACCAAACUCUUGCGUAACUUUGCAGUCUGAGUGAUUUGUAAAUAAAUCAAAACUUUCAACAACGGAUCUCUUGGUUCUGGCAUCGAUGAAGAACGCAGCGAAAUGCGAUAAGUAAUGUGAAUUGCAGAAUUCAGUGAAUCAUCGAAUCUUUGAACGCACAUUGCGCCCCGUGGUAUUCCGCGGGGCAUGCCUGUUCGAGCGUCAUUACACCACUCAAGCCUCGCUUGGUAUUGGGCGACGCGGUCCGCCGCGCGCCUCAAAUCUUCCGGCUGGGUUCGAUCGUCCCUCAGCGUUGUGGAAACUAUUCGCUAAAGGUGCACUUUCGGGUCACGCCGUUAAACAAACCCAUUCAAAGGUUGACCUCGAUCAG
Molecule: ribosomal RNA, 548 nt
Filed under: ascomycete sp. IMGERS-Plot IIl
Lineage: Eukaryota; Fungi; Ascomycota
Description: eukaryotic LSU rRNA
Rfam family: 5.8S ribosomal RNA (bases 229-382)
Source: RNAcentral